RNAcentral lists this ribosomal RNA (253 nucleotides) under uncultured bacterium. RNAcentral describes it as "partial 16S ribosomal RNA". It matches the Rfam family "Bacterial small subunit ribosomal RNA", at positions 524 to 776 of the family's 1533-position model. The record is from RNAcentral.
UACGGAGGUGGCAAGCGUUGUUCGGAAUCACUGGGCGUAAAGGGCGCGUAGGCGGGGUCGGAAGUCGGGUGUGAAAGCCCCGGGCUCAACCCGGGAACGGCGCUCGAGACUCCGGCUCUUGAGUCCCGGAGAGGCGGGUGGAAUUCCUGGUGUAGCGGUGAAAUGUGUAGAGAUCAGGAGGAACACCGGUGGCGUAGGCGGCCCGCUGGACGGAGACUGACGCUGAGGCGCGAAAGCUAGGGGAGCGAACGGG